Molecule: ribosomal RNA, 468 nt
Filed under: uncultured bacterium
Lineage: Bacteria
Description: partial 16S ribosomal RNA
Rfam family: Bacterial small subunit ribosomal RNA
Source: RNAcentral
GACGAACGCUGGCGGCGUGCUUAACACAUGCAAGUCGAACGGAAAGGCCCUGCGUUUGUGGGGUGCUCGAGUGGCGAACGGGUGAGUAACACGUGAGUAACCUGCCCUUGACUUUGGGAUAACUUCAGGAAACUGGGGCUAAUACCGGAUAGGAGCUCCUGCUGCAUGGUGGGGGUUGGAAAGUUUCGGCGGUUGGGGAUGGACUCGCGGCUUAUCAGCUUGUUGGUGGGGUAGUGGCUUACCAAGGCUUUGACGGGUAGCCGGCCUGAGAGGGUGACCGGCCACAUUGGGACUGAGAUACGGCCCAGACUCCUACGGGAGGCAGCAGUGGGGAAUAUUGCACAAUGGGCGGAAGCCUGAUGCAGCAACGCCGCGUGCGGGAUGACGGCCUUCGGGUUGUAAACCGCUUUCGCCUGUGACGAAGCGUGAGUGACGGUAAUGGGUAAAGAAGCACCGGCUAACUACGUG